Molecule: non-coding RNA, 156 nt
Filed under: Pseudomonas citronellolis
Lineage: Bacteria; Pseudomonadati; Pseudomonadota; Gammaproteobacteria; Pseudomonadales; Pseudomonadaceae
Description: FMN riboswitch (RFN element)
Rfam family: FMN riboswitch aptamer (RFN element)
About the family: The RFN element is a highly conserved domain that is found frequently in the 5'-untranslated regions of prokaryotic mRNAs that encode for flavin mononucleotide (FMN) biosynthesis and transport proteins.
Source: RNAcentral
CGUUCUCAGGGCGGGGUGCAAGUCCCCACCGGCGGUGAUGGCGCGCAACGCGUCGAGCCCGCGAGCGCUUGCCACGACCGGCCCACCGCCGCAGUGGCAAGGUCAGCAGACCCGGUGCGAUCCCGGGGCCGACGGUAACAGUCCGGAUGAAGAGAG